This 72-nucleotide transfer RNA is filed under the name Candidatus Buchananbacteria bacterium. RNAcentral describes it as "tRNA-Arg". It matches the Rfam family "tRNA". Rfam says of the family: Transfer RNA (tRNA) molecules are approximately 80 nucleotides in length. Their secondary structure includes four short double-helical elements and three loops (D, anti-codon, and T loops). Further hydrogen bonds mediate the characteristic L-shaped molecular structure. tRNAs have two regions of fundamental functional importance: the anti-codon, which is responsible for specific mRNA codon recognition, and the 3' end, to which the tRNAs corresponding amino acid is attached (by aminoacyl-tRNA synthetases). tRNAs cope with the degeneracy of the genetic code in two manners: having more than one tRNA (with a specific anti-codon) for a particular amino acid; and 'wobble' base-pairing, i.e. permitting non-standard base-pairing at the 3rd anti-codon position. Lineage: Bacteria; Candidatus Buchananiibacteriota. The record is from RNAcentral.
GUCCCCGUAGUUCAGUGGAUAGAAUGUGAGCUUCCGGAGCUCAAGGCGUAGGUUCGAUUCCUACCGGGGACA